Molecule: ribosomal RNA, 556 nt
Filed under: uncultured bacterium
Lineage: Bacteria
Description: bacterial SSU rRNA
Rfam family: Bacterial small subunit ribosomal RNA
Source: RNAcentral
UAAUACGGAAGGUCCGGGCGUUAUCCGGAUUUAUUGGGUUUAAAGGGAGCGCAGGCGGCAUAUUAAGCGUGACGUGAAAUGCGGCGGCUCAACCGUCGAUGUGCGUCGCGAACUGGUUUGCUUGAGUGCGUGCGAGGAUGGCGGAAUUCGUGGUGUAGCGGUGAAAUGCUUAGAUAUCACGAAGAACUCCGAUUGCGAAGGCAGCUGUCCAGUCCGUAACUGACGCUAAUGCUCGAAGGUGCGGGUAUCGAACAGGAUUAGAUACCCUGGUAGUCCGCACGGUAAACGAUGGAUGCCCGCUGUCGGCGAUAUAUUGUCGGUGGCUAAGCGAAAGCGUUAAGCAUCCCACCUGGGGAGUACGCCGGCAACGGUGAAACUCAAAGGAAUUGACGGGGGCCCGCACAAGCGGAGGAACAUGUGGUUUAAUUCGAUGAUACGCGAGGAACCUUACCCGGGCUUGAACUGCAGCAGAACGAUUCAGAGAUGAUGAGGUCCUUCGGGACUGCUGUGGAGGUGCUGCAUGGUUGUCGUCAGCUCGUGCCGUGAGGUGUCGGCU